This 467-nucleotide ribosomal RNA is filed under the name uncultured bacterium. RNAcentral's name for it is "partial 16S ribosomal RNA". It matches the Rfam family "Bacterial small subunit ribosomal RNA", at positions 28 to 506 of the family's 1533-position model. The record is from RNAcentral.
GACGAACGCUGGCGGCGUGCUUAACACAUGCAAGUCGAACGGAAAGGCCCUGCUUUUGUGGGGUGCUCGAGUGGCGAACGGGUGAGUAACACGUGAGUAACCUGCCCUUGACUUUGGGAUAACUUCAGGAAACUGGGGCUAAUACCGGAUAGGAGCUCCUGCUGCAUGGUGGGGGUUGGAAAGUUUCGGCGGUUGGGGAUGGACUCGCGGCUUAUCAGCUUGUUGGUGGGGUAGUGGCUUACCAAGGCUUUGACGGGUAGCCGGCCUGAGAGGGUGACCGGCCACAUUGGGACUGAGAGACGGCCCAGACUCCUACGGGAGGCAGCAGUGGGGAAUAUUGCACAAUGGGCGGAAGCCUGAUGCAGCAACGCCGCGUGCGGGAUGACGGCCUUCGGGUUGUAAACCGCUUUCGCCUGUGACGAAGCGUGAGUGACGGUAAUGGGUAAAGAAACACCGGCUAACUACGU